RNAcentral lists this transfer RNA (72 nucleotides) under Heterocephalus glaber (naked mole-rat). It matches the Rfam family "tRNA". From Rfam's summary of the family: Transfer RNA (tRNA) molecules are approximately 80 nucleotides in length. Their secondary structure includes four short double-helical elements and three loops (D, anti-codon, and T loops). Further hydrogen bonds mediate the characteristic L-shaped molecular structure. tRNAs have two regions of fundamental functional importance: the anti-codon, which is responsible for specific mRNA codon recognition, and the 3' end, to which the tRNAs corresponding amino acid is attached (by aminoacyl-tRNA synthetases). tRNAs cope with the degeneracy of the genetic code in two manners: having more than one tRNA (with a specific anti-codon) for a particular amino acid; and 'wobble' base-pairing, i.e. permitting non-standard base-pairing at the 3rd anti-codon position. Lineage: Eukaryota; Metazoa; Chordata; Mammalia; Rodentia; Bathyergidae. The record is from Rfam by way of RNAcentral.
GGGGAUGUAGCUCAGUGGUAGAGUGCUUGCCUAGCAUGCAUGAGGCCCUAGGUUCAAUCCCCAGCACUGCAA